Molecule: long non-coding RNA, 8350 nt
Filed under: Triticum aestivum (bread wheat)
Lineage: Eukaryota; Viridiplantae; Streptophyta; Magnoliopsida; Poales; Poaceae
Description: long non-coding RNA (TAES_LNC006324)
Source: RNAcentral
CCUGAAAAAAGUUUCUUCCAUACAUGGCGGUCUCCCUAAAUACAUGUUUGGUGUCUCUACCAGGCACCAGCAAAUUAAAGCCCCAAAAACUGUAGAUAAAACCGCAUUUGGAACAAGAUGGUCGCGCAAAAAAAUGGGACUAGAAAGGUGGGGAAUAAUUGGCUGAGGAUUCAUGGUAUGCUUUGUUGGGCGCCACCCUGAUUCUUUUUUCUGUUCAUGUCGCCCUUUCGUAGUUGCCACCAAUCUGCAUGCGAAGCCACUCUGAAGCCGGCGAGCCUUGCGUGUACUCCCUUGGUGUUUGCGGGUCAAAUAUUAGACCUGGAGCUGUGUUGUACGUCGGCGAGAAGACAAGAAUACAUAUUUUUCUGUACACAAACAUGACAACAUAGCAUCUAUCAUAGCAGGCCUGAUUGCAGAUCAAGGGCCGAGAUGCAUAGUAGGCAACACAGUUUGAGAAAUCAAGCAUUGGAGCUAAGAUAUACUGUACUUCUUUGUACCCAUCAUUCUUUUGCUACUUAACCAUUGAGUUCGCAACUUGACUUACAUCUUUAGUUGGAAAUGUCUCGGCCCCAUUGUGAGCAUGGGCAUUAACCGCCUCAAGCUUCCUGGACAGGAACUGCAGAUGACAGCAAUUGUCAAGCUAUUUAUCAUUAACUGAACUAUAGAGGGACAUAAUUCCAUAUUAGCGACAAGACACAGCAUACCUCAAUUUGACGUUCCAAAGCUUGGACAUAAUUGAUUAUCUCACUGAGGACCGAUGCUUUGCCAAUAACCUAACCAAGGAAGCAUAAGCUUUCCAAAGAAAAUCAUUUACAUACACAAAACUAGGGAGGACUUAGAGCUUGAAGAUGAUACCAAAGAUAAAUAGAUCUGGACAUUAGUGGGACUGUGGGAGAGAAUGGAGACAUAAAAAAUAUUGAAUUCUUGUUGAGAUUAAAAUUCACCUUAUUACAUCCAGGGACAAGAUCUUGGAGAAUUUUCACCCACUCGGUUAUUUUCUCACGACGUGCCUCUCAAAAUAGUAGAACUUCCAGUGAUCAAGGGUGUACAAGAAUAGUCAAAAUGAAACAAUGCACUGAACUGACCCUUUCUGCAAGGCUAUGGCUGUUGGUUGCUUGACCCCUUCUUGCCCUCACAUGGAUGAAAUCUUGCUUUGGUGGCGGAGGAUUUUGAUCAACAGCCUUACUAGCAUUUCUUGAAUCAGCUUCAGCAUCUUUUCUGAAACUGCCAUUAUCAUCAGUGGAUUUAUUUGCCUUGGAAUGUUUUGCUUUUGCAUUAGUCUGCACAUUAAGGUUCGAGUGACUUAGCGAUUAAGACAGACGAGAGAAAGAACAAUUAACCUGUUGCCCUCUGCAUAAGCUGUGCUACGGGCAUUUUUUUCUUUAGAAUAUAACAGAAAUAUUGUCAACCGCCUUCUGGCCUCCCAAGUCAAACAAAUAUUUAAACUGUCAAUCGGCACAUAACCAGUUAAUAUAAGGGGCGAAAAAUCAUAUAAUGGCACCAGUAAAAUCAAAGAUCACAUACGACAAUAAUGAUAGCUUGCAGACUAUCACCAAUAUGAUGCCUGCUAAAAUAAAUAUGACAGUAGGUUACUAAAUGCAAGUAGAAGAUGCAAAAUACUCUGGACCAGGUCAUUGGCUCAGUACUCUGGACCAGGUCGUUGGCCGCCUCCAAGAGGUUUGACGGGGCCGUCUCAUCAGAGAAUGUUGCGGACCUGGGUGAUCCGCUUCAUCCGGGUCUAGUCAGAAUGUCGGAGCGGGGAGGUUCUCGUUGGGUCGGCUCCACCAAAGUACAACCACAUUCCCCUGACGCGGGCCUGAAGUGGCUGGAUCCUCCGGCUGACCCAGGCGGCAACGAUGUCAUUGCCGGUCAUAUCCGACUUCGUGAGCACGCUGACCUGCUCCAUCAGGAUCUUAGCCUGGGUCUACUCCACCCUCGUGAGCUUGAGCGGCCACCCGGUGUGCCAAUCUGCGGCCUCGGGCGUGUACGGAGGCAAUCUAAGGCCCAAGGCAAAGGCAAAGAUGUUGAUGCUCCAACAACAUCAACAUCAACUCCGAGGGCGUAACGUUCACCAGAAAAUUGCUACCUGCUAUGACCCCAAUAGUAAGGCCUUCAUCUUUGGGGGAAAGCCUUUCAGAUGACUGUGGAAGAUGUCGAGCAUAUCAUAGGUGUGCCCGCAUUGGGCCAAGAGUUUUUUUUUCAUGCGAAUCAAUUCAAGUAUUUGCAUUAUACGAAGAGCUAAAAGGCCCUAGCGGAAAUAACCCACUUUGAAAGGACUUGUUGAAAAAUAAAAAACAACAAGGGAUCAACUUUCAUCCGCGCACACAAUAGGUGUGCUAAUGUGUCCAAUAGCAGAGAGGCACGUCGGCACGAAGUACCUAGGAUUGGUAGCAGACAUAUCUAGAAUAACGAUGGUGAAUUUUGCAUUCCUCACGCUUACUCAUCUGAUGGCCAUUAUCACCAAAUUUAAAGAUGGAAGCUCGAAUUUGGAGGGGAACCUCCCAUUGCUACAUGUUGGAAAAGCUAUAACUAUCUGAAUGUGAGGUUCAUAUAGAUUCAUAUAUUUAUAGCCUUUUGUAACCUGUAGCAAUGGGAGGUUCCUCUCCAAAUUCGAGCUUCCAUCUUUAAACUUGGUGAUGCUGGGCAUCAGAUGGUUAAGAGUAGGGAGUGCAAAAUUCACCCACUUUAUUCUAUAUAUGUCUGCUACCAGUCCUAUGUAGCUCGUGCCGACGUGCCUCUGUGUUGUUGGAUACAUAAGCACACAUGUUGUGUACAUUACAUAGGCGCGGAUGAAAGUUGACCCCUUGCUGUUUUUUAUUCUUGUAGUAAACCCUUUCAAAGUGAUUUUAUUUUCGCUAGGGUCUUUCAGCUCUUCAUAUAAUGCAGAUGUCUGACUUGAUUCGCAUGGAAAACACUCUUGGACAAUGUGUGCACACGCAUAAUAUGCUCGACAUCUUCCACAGUCGAGAGGGCAUUGCCCCAAAGAUGAGUACCUUCUUGUUGGGGUCAUAGCAUCUAUCAAUUUUCUGGUUCAAGUUAUGCCCGGUGUUCGUUUUUGUUCACACGUUAAUGGAGCAACCACUUAUCUGUGAUCACAGACCUGGGAUGGUUCCGGUGCAUCGCCUCCAAAAAUGGAGAAAAAUCCUUAUUUGACACUAUCUUAAAAUCUAGUUCCUUAUUUGACUCUGAAAAAGUUAUUCUUCCCUAUUUGACACUAGUCCUAAAUUUUAUUCCCUAUAUAACACUUCUGUCCAUUUUGAGCCUAAAUGACAUCUGAAAAGACGAUUUUGCCCCUCAUGCGGUAUGUGUGUGCGCUCGCGUGUGUGCUAUUGCGUGUGUGGGUGCACGCGCACAUGUGUGCUGCCGCUGCAUGUGUGUGUGCAUGUGUGCUGCAGUGUGUGUUUGCUACUGCGUGUGUACGUGCGCGCGUGUGUGUGUGCUGUUGCAUGCCUAUGUGCUGCCUGUGUGUGUGCUGCUGCUGCGUGUGUGUGUAUGUGUGCGUGUGUGUUGCUGCGUGUGUGUGUAUGUGUGUGUGCUGCGUGCGUGUGUGUGUGCGUGCAUGUGUGUUGCUGCGUGUGUGUGUGUGCACGGGCACGUGCAUGUUGUUGCGUGUGUGUGUGUGCACGUGCGCGUGCGUGUUGUUGCGUGUGCGUGUGUGUUGGUGCAUGUGUAUGUGUUGAUGCGUGUGUUCUCUUGCCCUCGCACUGAUGCUGCGUGCGUGCGCUAUUGCCCCCCACACAUACCACAUGAGGGGCAAAAGAGUCUUUUCAUGUGUCAUUUAGGCUCAAAAUAGACGGAAAUGUCAUAUAGGGAAUAAAAUUUAGAACUUGUGUCAAAUAGGAAAGAAAAACUUUUCCAGUGUCAAAUAAGGAAUUUUUUCCAAAAAAUGAAUGGAGCAACCACUUAUAUGAUGCCAUGGUCUAGUCCAAUUCAAUGCCAACCCCAAAGACAACUGUGCUGCAAUGGUGGUUCAAUCCUAUGAUUGGAACAAAUGGCAAGUUCUAUUUGUUCACAUGGUACGUGUCAAACACAACAACAUCACCAAAGGCAUCAUAGUCCAACCGGGACUACGUCUGACCAAAAAAGGUUCUGCAGAUGGCCUCUGCUGUCUGUGUUGUACCUGUACCAAAAUUCAGAAUCUCAUCUUCCUGCGCUGCCAUAUAGUUCAGCAUGUAUUGGGCACCGAAAUCUUUGAUUCUUUGCUUCUUGUACUCAGCAAAAAAAUUAUAUAGGUCCCGAGACACACAGCCAACUUUGUCAUAACCAGCGUGAUGCCUCUCCAUUACCUCCAUUAUCUGAUGUGUGCGUGACCACCAAUACCAUACUCAAUGGCAUCAGGCUUUUGAGCAUCAUUAAGUCCACGACGAGGCCAUAAGAAAGGUGUCUGGUCAGGCUUAGUGAAUUCAUAGUUAUGCUGGUCCACAAAUUCCUUGACAAGAGAGUGCCCUUGGUUUCCUUUUUCCAGUUGGACCUUCCAAAGUUAUUCAUGGGCCUAUAUAUCUCUUUGCUGCACAUAUACAACCUUUGGAUUCUUAUGUCUCCCUUAUUUUUCACAUUGGCCUUCCUGACGCUGAACACUUCCUCUUAAGCAUGUUUAUUACAGAACUCGAAACCUUGUUCAUCGCUUGUGAAUGUUUGACUAACAACCCUGUAAUAUUCUUCAGUUUCCUCUAUGCUGACAUGGCGAGCAUCCAUGUUGUGCAACUGCAUGCCGGCCACAAAUAAACUGAAUAAUGUCAUUUACGCAUCUCUAGUGCCAAACUACAUCAUCAAAAAUGUAAAUCAAAGCACUUCUGCCACAUGACAACCAACACACCAAAAUGUGAACCGUAAUUGCAAGUGUUCUGAAUGUAUGUGGAUUGACUUUGCCUGUACUGUAAGCAAACAAUAUAAACUAUGUGAUUCCACCAAGCAAAUAAUAUGUAGCCACCAUGUUUUCAUGGAGAGUUGGUCCUAAAUACUCCAUGCAAUUUCUAAAACAGUUUUGCUAAAGCACAUCUAGAUGUGCUAUAAGUAUUGCACAUCUAAAUCCUAUGUCAUUGAUCUUACGUUGAGAUUCGUGUGGAUACUUACUUUUUCUUUUUUCUUUUCCUCUUUAUGCUUGACUCACUCACUUAGAUGUGCAAUAACUAGUGCCCUAGACACACCCUUUCUAAAAUUAUUUAAGAUUCUGUAUGAACAAAACUUCUGAUGCCACAUCAUUCUUAUAGAAGAUAUAACAGUGUCGACGAUAAAGGUCAAGAGAAUAUAGAGUACUGAAGGCAAGAGCAUGUCCAGUUUAAUUUUACUUGGGCCUCAUACGUGAAUUCUAAUCUCUUUGGUAUUAUUGAAGCAUUACCUUCUGCCGGCGGACCAGCAGUGAUAGAGACGAACGGAAGGGCAGUGCCAACGGCGACAGCAGGAUUAGCGGGCGGUGGUGCAUCGGUAAACGGCGGCCAGAGAUUCUGGUAGAGGCAGACGGAACGGACGGACCUGAAGGUUCCGGAGGCGGACGGCUCGGGCAGGCAAGAGGUACGGUAGAGGCGGAUGGAACGGACGGGCAGGAAGGAUCCGGAGGCCGACGGCGCGGUGGCGCGGCGGCGAGAGCCACGGGUCGGCUGCGGCGGCAACUAGGGCUUGGGUGACAGGUCGGGACUUUCUGUUGAUUGAUUGAACUAUUUAACUAUCGAGCUAGACUGCCCUUGGGCUAAAAGAAAAGAAAUCUAAUGUAAACUGCCUAUAUUACCCUUCAAAUCGACGGUGGAUCUGUGCAAAUACUAGCAUUUCCUAUGACUGGUAACUUGCACCGUAAAACGAAUCCUAACUGACCCCAGGACCGUCGAAAACGCUGACAGCACACCUCCUUUGCACGCUGAUCGCCACUAAACAAGGAGGCGUCCACUCGUCGAGAACCAUGUAAUCUAGUAUUCAUAUCAUUGACAAACACAUGAUAUAAUAGUGCAGGCAAAGAGGGACGCGGGCUUUGGUCUAUGGAUGUACAUACAUCCUAGGGAGUGCCUAGGACUCAUCUAAAUGAGAUAUAAUUUGGUCUCAUUCACCUGAAAACAAAAACAGAUAAAAAUAGUACUACAAACCACAUCAGCACACACGCAUCUUAUAGUAUCAAUCCAAUGACUAUAAAAGUGAAUGAGACAUAACUAAAACUCAGCUAGAUGAGUUCUAGCAAAGCCGUACAUCCUAUAUGAAAAAAAUAGUAAUUCAUUGUACUUGUGACAAAAUUUCACAAGACGAAAAACCCUACGAACUCCUUUUCAAAAAAAUAAAAUUUUCAGCCAAAAAAAUGUGAAUAGUGACCUAUAAUAGCAAAUAAAUUUCCUUUUUGCCCCGAAGUCAACGCUGGGUUUUUAUUCGCGAAAAUUUAUAUACUAGUGCAAAAUCCAAACAAACUUCUAAACUUAUUUGACUUUUUUGUAAAAAAAAAAUCCCGGGUGUAUCUACAACCAGGAAGCAAAGGGUAUUUCCCAGGCGAAGGGCCUCAUAAAUCCAUUACAGCACUCGGGUAACGAAAAGCAUGAAGAAGUAAGAAAUACUUGCUUCCCAAAAGAAGGGGCGGAACAUAUAAAUUUAUGGAAUAAUUCUCUCGGACAUGAGCAUUACCAGUACUAGGAAAUUGGUCGUGAAAGCACUUCUUGCCUGCUCAUCAUGCCGUUGGCCGUUAGGAAUCCAUACUAUCCGCAACUUGCUCAUCACCAUCCGUGUCAUCAUCUCACCACAAUAUCUGGAAUCAUCGUCUGCUACAAGGUACUCUACAACUCUUCGGCCAGCAUCCCAUCACCAAGGCUUCCGCUUUGUUCUACAAGACACAACUCCAGCUUCUCAAGCACUUCUUGCAUUGUAGGGCGGUCGAUACCACGAUCACUUACACAUUUCUCAGCAAUCUCCACAAACUUGUUGAAGCACCGCGGAGCAAUCUUUCCUUCAAGAUAGGGAUCAACAAUCAGAUCAAGGACGCCCUUCUUCUGGCAACUAAGGGCGCAUUGUGCAAGUUCAACUUGUCUCCUUGGAAAACUAGGAUCCCAAUGCAGCCCGAGCACACAACACCUCAAACAGCACGACAUCAAAAGAAAUAAAGAAUAUCCAUUGGAUUUCUCUGUUGGUUGCCCAGUUCCGAGAAAUUCAGGAUCGAUAUAACCUGCAUAUACUCCAGUGUUCCUUGUUUUCUCCUGAAUAAGACACCGUUGAUCGUACUAGCAUCUUGGUUUUUCUCAACUUCAUGAUGCAAACCUACAUAGAAAGCUGAAGGAGGUCAGAAGCGAGCGGCAGAUAUAUCAAAGCUUCAGGAGCAGUGCAAAUGAUGAAUGGCUUCGAGCUGUUCCAGCAUGAACCCAUGCGUGUUUUUGUUUUUCAUAAGCUCUUCGCCCUCCGGCAUUUGAACCCUGGGCGUUUGACAAUCACAUAUUUACAUUUGUUGAGAUGGUCAAAUUUGCGGACUUUUUUUUAGGUACCGGCCUGAAUCGAUUCAGGUAAAAAAGAACCAAAGUUCCUUGCAAGCUCUGAAGAUAAAAUAAAGGCCCUAGGGCAACAAGGGGACACUAAAAGCUAAAACCAACUAUACAAGCCAUGAAAAAAAAGGGUUCGUUUUUGUAGCGCAAAAUCGUGGAGUGAAAAUCCAAUCUCAGGCAAACCCUGAAGACACCAAACAUGUGAUCCGAGAAACCAACUGCCAUGGGCACAAACCCACAGAACUCAGAAAGAGAAACAUGCCAUAAGGUUCAAGCUUUGAUUCUAAAACCAAUAAAUAAAUGAAAUCAGAAAAAAAAGAGAUAAGGUUUAAGCUUUCACAGCCUGACAGACACCUGAAAAGAAAGUCGCUUCCUUUCAUCUUAAGAAUGAUUACCAGCUACAGAAAUCCAUGGAAUACAUGAAGGUUGCGAAUACAUGAGGAACAGUCCUGAAUCCGAAGGUCAAAACAAAAAGGCACUGUGCUCGGCGGUUCUCUCUAAAUACAUGUCUGACGUCUCUACCGGCAAUUACAGCUCCAAAAACUAUGAAUAAAACCGCAUUUGGAACGAGAUGGUGGCACAAAAAAAAUGAUCUACGAUAUGAAAGUGGGGGUUGAUUGGCCGAGGAUUCAUGACACGCUUUGUUGGGCAACACCCUGGACUUUUGUUCUGCUCAUGUCACUCUUUCGUAGGUGCCACCAAUCUGCAUGUGAAGCCAUUCUGCAGCCGGCGAGCCCUGGGCAUACUCCCUUGGUGUUUGUGGGUCAAAUGUUAACCCUGGAGCUGUGUUGUAUGUUGGCGCAGCGAACUGCAAGUGAGAAGAACAAAAGGUAAACCUUCUGGAGCUAAGAUAUGUUUUGCUGUACACAAACGUGCCAAUAUAUCAUUGGAAUAUAUUUGCAAGGGAC